UAUAUAGACAUAGAGGCAGAGAAGGAGGGAAAAGUAAGUAAUGAGAUAUCUGAUCAAGGAAGAGACAUAGCGUAUGUAUCAUGUUUCACAUCCAAUCUUGCUGUGAGAUCAGGAUGAUUUACAUGGAUUUGGUAAACUGGAGUCACCAAUUUUUUUUCCAAGAGAGAUCUCAUCAAGAUGAUUAUCUUGUGAAUAUACUCCAGACAGCGAGGUGGAAUGAAUAAGGAUCUUCGAGAGUUUUUGAGUAUCUGGAUCCAGAUCUAACUUUUGAAUAUAUUGAUCUACAUUUGCAGCUUCUGGGUAUCAAUCCAAACAUUAAGAUACCCCAAUAUUUAUAUAAUAUUAAAAUAUUAAAGAUAAAAGUAAAAUGAAAGA
Camelina sativa (false flax) is the source of this 375-nucleotide non-coding RNA. The record is from RefSeq and is a predicted model, not a curated record. Lineage: Eukaryota; Viridiplantae; Streptophyta; Magnoliopsida; Brassicales; Brassicaceae.